AUGAAGCUGAUCCCUUCGGGUGCAACGGAGCGUCGGUGGUCAAGUAUGUCGCAGCAUGGCCCAACAAAGGCGCUCUCCGGGAGAUGGUGGCUAGACAUUUUGAGAGGAAAAAGUGGGAGACAAGUUAUGAGGAGGGGAGGAAAGCGCACUGUGUUUGGUAUAUUAUUUGUGCUGAGUUUUAUUCUCUCUUUUGGAAAAAGAGCACAUGGGAAUUGGAUAAAAGAACAUGCCAAUUAUAUGUUUGAGCAGCACGGGAAAGAGGUAGCAUUAAUAUAUGAACACCCCCUCACCAUAGGAGAUUUUUCAUUUCUUCCCGAUUUAAUUGAUGAACCACAGAUUGUGUUGGAGGGAUUGUCCAAGGCUCAGGAGGGUCCACCUACCGUGUUUUCUAGCAUACCGCAAAAAAUAAAUCAAACUCGGUUUCGACGGUUUAGAUACCAUACCUCCACCAGGGGUUUGUGCUUCUGUUGUGGAGGAUCGGGAAUAUGGAAUUCUGAGUGGAGACACUGGGGAACUAGGCAGGCGUUCUUUUCCCGAUUAGGCAAUUACUCCCAUUGUCGAGACCGGUUCUAUCUACAUGGACGAUUUAAUACAUCUUAUGUCUCACGAUUAAAUCUAACCGCAACCGAGUGGGCUAGCAUGUAUCCAGAUUAUCCUACAUUUAGUGUGAAUGAUUCUAUUGAGGGCCUAAAAUUUUAUAUGAACAUACUGCAACAAUUAACCCAACUGAGCCUAGGUAAAAGCCUCUGUCCGUUAUGGCAAAUUAGGGAUCCAAAUCUAUGGUUUUACUUUGAUAAAUGGGCCACAAAUUAUCACCCCGGCAACUACCAGUGUGUCGGUGUGGGUUAUUUGACAUUCCCAGUUCAGGUCUUGCACAAAAGGCAUCAGUGCCUGAAACGGGACAUUGUGCAAACAGGCCCUCUAGGACCAGAAUGCUCGGAUGAGGUCAUUAUUAACAAGGCCCUGUCAGGUUCAGAAGCCUCCCGUGUAGGAGGAGGCCUGAUCACAGGCUUGUUGACCCUGGGUGCCUACCCAGGGAUUGUAGCUCAAGCAAAUCGUAGAAGUGUUCUAGGCCUGACUUGCCGCCUUGAAAAGUCCAUAAAUGCCACUGGUAAAAUUUUCCGGGAAAUCCAGUCUGAAGUAGAAGAAAUCAGCCAGAUGGCCCUACAGCAUAAGUUGGCCCUUGACUACCUACUGGCGGCCAGGGGGGGGGUUAUGCGCCAUGGUUAG
This 1230-nucleotide long non-coding RNA is filed under the name Anolis carolinensis (green anole). Its description in RNAcentral is "lncRNA (ENSACAG00000043316.1)". Lineage: Eukaryota; Metazoa; Chordata; Lepidosauria; Squamata; Anolidae. The record is from RNAcentral.